Molecule: ribosomal RNA, 305 nt
Filed under: uncultured bacterium
Lineage: Bacteria
Description: bacterial SSU rRNA
Rfam family: Bacterial small subunit ribosomal RNA
Source: RNAcentral
GCCUACGGGGCGCAGCAGUGAGGAAUAUUGGUCAAUGGGCGAGAGCCUGAACCAGCCAAGUCGCGUGAGGGAAGACGGUCCUAUGGAUUGUAAACCUCUUUUGCCGGGGAGCAAAAAGCGGUACGUGUACCGCAUCGAGAGUACCCGGAGAAAAAGCAUCGGCUAACUCCGUGCCAGCAGCCGCGGUAAUACGGAGGAUCCGAGCAUUAUCCGGAGUGACUGGGUGUAAAGAGUUGCGUAGGUGGCAUAGUAAGUAGCUAGUGAAAUCUGGUGGCUCAACCAUUCAGACUAUUAGCUAAACUGCU